GCCGGUGUGGCGGAACUGGCAGACGCGGGGGAUUCAAAAUCCCCUGCCCCUCUGCGGGCGUGCGGGUUCGACUCCCGCCACCGGCACCA
Molecule: transfer RNA, 89 nt
Filed under: Aquificota bacterium
Lineage: Bacteria; Pseudomonadati; Aquificota
Description: Aquificae bacterium (hydrothermal vent metagenome) tRNA-Leu
Rfam family: tRNA
About the family: Transfer RNA (tRNA) molecules are approximately 80 nucleotides in length.
Source: RNAcentral